RNAcentral lists this non-coding RNA (159 nucleotides) under Nomascus leucogenys (northern white-cheeked gibbon). The record is from Rfam by way of RNAcentral. Lineage: Eukaryota; Metazoa; Chordata; Mammalia; Primates; Hylobatidae.
GCUGGGCGCAGUGGCUCAUGCCUGUAAUCCAAGCUACUUGGGCAGCUGUGAUGGGAGGAUCACUUGAGCCCAGGAGUUUGAGGCUGUGGUGGGCUGUGAUUGCACAUGUAAAUAGCCACUGUACUCCAGCCUGGGCAACAUAGCAAGACCCCAUCACAA